Molecule: ribosomal RNA, 504 nt
Filed under: uncultured bacterium
Lineage: Bacteria
Description: partial 16S ribosomal RNA
Rfam family: Bacterial small subunit ribosomal RNA
Source: RNAcentral
AUUGAACGCUGGCGGCAUGCCUUACACAUGCAAGUCGAACGGCAGCAUGGAGAGCUUGCUCUCUGAUGGCGAGUGGCGAACGGGUGAGUAAUGCAUCGGAACGUACCGUGUAAUGGGGGAUAACGUAGCGAAAGUUACGCUAAUACCGCAUACGACCUGAGGGUGAAAGCAGGGGAUCGCAAGACCUUGCGUUAUACGAGCGGCCGAUUUCAGAUUAGCGAGUUGGGGAUGUAAAGGCUCACCAAGGCGCCGAGCUGGCGAGGGUCUGAGAGGAUGAUCCGCCACACGGGGACUGAGACACGGCCCAGACUCCUACGGGAGGCAGCAGUGGGGAAUGUUGGACAAUGGGGGCAACCCUGAUCCAGCCAUGCCGCGUGAGUGAAGAAGGCCUUCGGGUUGUAAAGCUCUUUCGGCCGGGAAGAAAUCGCACAGGCUAAUACUCAGUGUGGAUGACGGUACCGGCAUAAGAAGCACCGGCUAACUACGUGCCAGCCGCCGCCGUAA